Molecule: ribosomal RNA, 364 nt
Filed under: uncultured Anoxybacillus sp.
Lineage: Bacteria; Bacillati; Bacillota; Bacilli; Caryophanales; Anoxybacillaceae
Description: bacterial SSU rRNA
Rfam family: Bacterial small subunit ribosomal RNA
Source: RNAcentral
UUCGGGGGACGAGGGUGACAGGUGGUGCAUGGUUGUCGUUAGCUCGUGUCGUGAGAUGUUGGGUUAAGUCCCGCAACGAGCGCAACCCUCGACCUUAGUUGCCAGCAUUCAGUUGGGCACUCUAAGGUGACUGCCGGCUAAAAGUCGGAGGAAGUGGGGAUGACGUCAAAUCAUCAUGCCCCUUAUGACCUGGGCUACACACGUGCUACAAUGGGCGGUACAAAGGGUCGCGAACCCGCGAGGGGGAGCCAAUCCCAAAAAGCCGCUCUCAGUUCGGAUUGCAGGCUGCAACUCGCCUGCAUGAAGCCGGAAUCGCUAGUAAUCGCGGAUCAGCAUGCCGCGGUCGAAUACGUUCCCGGGCCUU